This 253-nucleotide unclassified non-coding RNA is filed under the name uncultured Bacteroidia bacterium. Its description in RNAcentral is "contains 16S-23S intergenic spacer region". It matches the Rfam family "Bacterial small subunit ribosomal RNA", at positions 524 to 776 of the family's 1533-position model. Lineage: Bacteria; Pseudomonadati; Bacteroidota; Bacteroidia. The record is from RNAcentral.
UACAGAGGGUGCAAGCGUUAUCCGGAUUCAUUGGGUUUAAAGGGUGCGCAGGCGGGAGAUUAAGUCAGCGGUGAAAGCCCACAGCUUAACUGUGGAAUUGCCGUUGAUACUGAUCUUCUUGAGUGCAGUUGAGGUAGGCGGAAUGUGGCAUGUAGCGGUGAAAUGCAUAGAUAUGCCACAGAACACCGAUCGCGAAGGCAGCUUACCAAACUGUUACUGACGCUCAGGUGCGAAAGCGUGGGGAGCAAACAGG